GAAAUAUAAAUAAUUAAGCUUCUAACUUAAAUAAAUAGCGGUAAGCCGUUAAUAUUUCU
RNAcentral lists this transfer RNA (59 nucleotides) under Ptinus rufipes. Its description in RNAcentral is "tRNA-Ser". The record is from RNAcentral. Lineage: Eukaryota; Metazoa; Arthropoda; Insecta; Coleoptera; Ptinidae.